Long non-coding RNA from Ficedula albicollis (Collared flycatcher), 1667 nucleotides. RefSeq lists it as uncharacterized. NCBI's taxonomy places the organism in Eukaryota, Metazoa, Chordata, Aves, Passeriformes, Muscicapidae. The transcript is spliced from 6 exons. The record is from RefSeq and is a predicted model, not a curated record.
AGAAACCAUUCCGUUUUUAUUUGUGGAACUGGGAGCCACAUUUUGUAUGUGUGGCUGUAAAAGCAGCAAGCCUGUCUUAAUGGCAGAACACCUGGAAUUAAUUUGAUAUUUCCAGGUGCUCUGGCAAACUGGGACAUCAAGCACUUGAUGUUUAAACAUUCUUCCACUGGCUUGCUUAAAUCAAUAUGAAAGUGGUGUCCCUUUGUCAUUCAUACAUGCAAAGUGCUAGCACAAACUCCAGCUUGGCUUCAGAGUCCUACAUCACUCAUAAUCUAAUUAGAAAUCAGAGCAGAGCUGAAGCAGCAUUCUUUGUGGAUUCUUGGGCAGCAAAUAGGGAUACUUGUCUUUUGUUUCCCUCCUCGAUUGCAUCGUUCACAAGCUUUCACACCACAUCUCUAAAGGUGGUUAGGUGCCUCAAGAUGUUGACAGGCAUGAAGGACAAGAUUAUUUAGGUGCCUAACCCGGGUGAUUUCAAAUGGAAUUAAGCAACUGGAUGUUACUAGGCUGGGAGGGGGGAUGGUGGUGGUGUGGGGGAAAAAAAAAAGCGGCCAGUGCAUAUUAAAAGCUCUAAUUUGUUGUCCUAAACUCUAGCAACGUGGGUGAUGUUUUUCCAGGGUAAAGUUGCCUGCAGGGUCGAUUUGCUGAAGCCUGUUAAUUUCUCCUGAGGUCAGUGGGCACGGGGUGCUGGGCAGUGCAGCCUCUCCUGGCCGGGCACGGUGGUCGCGUGUGCUCCUGCUGCUUCCCAAGAGACAGGGGCAGUAAUGAAGAACGUGGAGUUUCCCACAGGAAUUUGGAAGAUGCCCAUGUCUAAGAGAAUGGUGAGGAUUGGGCCAAAAUCCAGAUCCAGCCUUGAUUCCUUCAUCCAAGUAAGCCUGUGUUGAGCCACGACUGCUGACGGAGCGCAGCGUCCUCUCUCCUCACUGCCCUGCAUCACAUCACCAGGAGCACCUGAGAGUACUGGAUGAGCCACCACAAGGCUGUGAUUGGAAAGUGUGGGGACCAAGCACUCAGGGAGAUGCUGAUGCAGCUGGUUCCCUGGCCCUGGGCUGUGGGUCAGCUUUUGCUCAUGGCAGAAGCCACCAGAGGCCAGAGAAACAUCGUGGGGACAGUUUCUGUCUUGGCUACUCAUCAGUGCUUUGAGCUGCACGAAGCCCUGAGAACCAAGGCAACACGAGUGCACCACCAGGGGUUUGCUCCUCUCAUGGUCUACACCUGAAGCACAGCAUAAAGUUCCACCCUUUGCUUCUGCAGCAAGUUCUUGUUACCCAGUUCCCACUGACAACAGGGGAAGAGGCACAAGCAAGCUCAGAAAAUGAACGACUAGAAGACUCAGUGAUACUGAACCAUCCCAGUUCCUGCUUUCAGGCUGGAGUCACAAGCUGGACUUGGAAGAAGAAACUUCCAUGCAGAUAUGUGACUGCAGUGUGAAUACUGUGCCAGGCAGCAGGGGUACAGGAAGGGGUGUUUGAAACCACGCAGUCAUUUCCACCCUGGGUUUCAUGAGGAGUUAUUCUUGUCUCAGAGAUGACGCAUUCAAAUAUCCCUCUAUGGAUUCCAGUUCUCAGGCCAAGGGGUCAUGGAUGAUGACAGCUCACAUCGACUUUGGAGCUGUUGUAUCUUUUAAGAGAAAUCAGGAAGAUGAGUUGGGAGAGAUGCUUUACUUUCUU